GAUUAACGCUGGCGGCGUGCAUAACACAUGCAAGUCGAACGAAGUGGCGGACGGGUGAGUAACGAGUGAGUAACCUGCCUUAGAUAAGGGGAUAGCCUUUGGAAACGAAGAAUAAUACCCUAUGCUCUAAGUUGGAAUUGCGUCUGAUUAGGUAGUUGAUGGGUUAACGGCCCACCACGACAGCGAUCAGUAGCCGUCUUGAGAGAGUAUACGACCACAUUGGGACUGAGGCACGGCACAGACUCUACGGGAGGAAGCAGUUGGGAAUUUUGCGAAAUGGGGGAAACCCUGAAGAAGCGACGACGCGUGAUUUAGAAGGCCUUCGGGUUAUAAAAAUCUUUUCUAUGGAAAGCAGUACCAUAGGAAUAAGGCCCAGCUAAUUACGUGCCAGCAGCCGCGGUAAUAA
Molecule: ribosomal RNA, 406 nt
Filed under: uncultured bacterium
Lineage: Bacteria
Description: partial 16S ribosomal RNA
Rfam family: Bacterial small subunit ribosomal RNA
Source: RNAcentral